CACGUAGUUAGCCGGGGCUUCUUAGUCAGGUACCGUCAUUUCUUCUUCCCUGCUGAUAGGACUUUACAUACCGAAAUACUUCUUCGUCCACGCGGCGUCGCUGCAUCAGGGUUUCCCCCAUUGUGCAAUAUCCCCCACUGCUGCCUCCCGUAGGAGUUUGGGCCGUGUCUCAGUCCCAAUGUGGCCGUCCGCCCUCUCAGGCCGGCUACUGAUCGUCGCUUUGGUGGGCCUCUACCCCGCCAACUGGCUAAUCAGACGCGGGCCCCUCCCAUACCACUAUUGUUUUUCACACAGAACCAUGCGGUCCCGUGCGCUUAUGCGGUAUUAGCAGCCGUUUCCGGCUGUUAUCCCCCUGUAUGGGGCAGGUUGCCCACGCGUUACUCACCCGUCCGCCACUCAGUCACUUCCCUUUCCCUCCGAAGAGUUCCGGAAAAGCGCUUCGUUCGACUUGCAUGUGUUAGGCACGCCGCCAGCGUUCAUCCUGAGCCAGGAUCAAACUCU
RNAcentral lists this ribosomal RNA (501 nucleotides) under uncultured Lachnospiraceae bacterium. Its description in RNAcentral is "partial 16S ribosomal RNA". Lineage: Bacteria; Bacillati; Bacillota; Clostridia; Lachnospirales; Lachnospiraceae. The record is from RNAcentral.